This 1031-nucleotide long non-coding RNA is filed under the name Cyanistes caeruleus (blue tit). RNAcentral's name for it is "lncRNA (ENSCCEG00000018238.1)". The record is from RNAcentral. Lineage: Eukaryota; Metazoa; Chordata; Aves; Passeriformes; Paridae.
GCCGGGGCACCGGCACCCGUCGUGUCCUCGGCCGGGCUGGGGCAUCUCCAGGGAUCCCUCACAGGGUUCCCGGGUUGUACCUGUGUCCCUUCGGGAUCCAGGAAUCGAUCUCUCCCUGGGUCCCCUUGAUGUCCUUGUGUCUCUUAGGGAUCCAGGAAUUCGUGACAGGGUUCCCAGAAUGUGCCUGUGUCUCGUUAGCCUGUACAGGGAUCCUGUGAUCCCGCAGGGUCCCUGGGAUGCCCCUGUGUCCCUUUAAAUGCGCCCAGGACUGGAAAGCCGGAGAUUUAGACCCGAAUUUUUUUUUUUAUGUGCUCUUAAUGAUAUUUAUUGUUAAUGGCUAGAUGGGAAACUGAUUUAUUUUCCAUCCUGUUCUUGGGAAGCAGAGGCUUUUCUAUUCCUCUGCAGCAUCUCAGAUCUGCUGAGGCUCACUCUGCCUCCUCACUCCUACCACAUUGUUUUCAUACUUAUGAACCAUAAUAUUUAUCAAAAGUGAAGCAUAUUUUAGUUUAAAAUUGAAUUGCUAUCUCACCUUAGUUGCCAGGUUUUGUAUUACCUCAUAUGUCUUCAUGCCAAACACUGUUUGUUUAUUUAUUUAUUCUUUUUAAUCUCCUGUACUGGGUGUAGGGAGUUUGUGGGGCUGUAAUCUGAUUUUUUCCCUUUCCUGUGCUGAGGGAUAACGUGCUGGCUGAAGUUCUAAUCAUUGUAGGCAUUUGCAGAAAUUAUCAGGGAGUUGGUGUAAAACUGUUUUUGAAAACCAUUGCCAUAUUUAUGGUAACAAAAGUCUCUUUUUGGCCACUGGAAGAAGAUAUGAUCAAACCAGCAGUGUUGGUUCUGAUGUGCUAUGUGUUUUUAAUCUGUGAAGUUCCAGCACACCUGUCCUGGCUGGCAGCAGGAACCUCACUGGAUUCAGCAAAAGCUUCCUCAAGAGGUUUGACAUUGAACUACUGCCCUGCCCUGACAGAUCGUGGUGUCUGAGGGGUUAGAGGACAUGCAGAUUAGUUGUGUCACUAAUGGGUAUGUGCUAAUGGAAA